UGGAUCCAGACUUUGAUUCUGGCUCAGGAUGAACGCUAGCUACAGGCUUAACACAUGCAAGUCGAGGGGAAACGACAUUGAAAGCUUGCUUUUGAUGGGCGUCGACCGGCGCACGGGUGAGUAACGCGUAUCCAACCUGCCCAUCACUUGGGGAUAACCUUGCGAAAGUAAGACUAAUACCCAAUGAUAUCUCUAGAAGACAUCUGAAAGAGAUUAAAGAUUUAUCGGUGAUGGAUGGGGAUGCGUCUGAUUAGCUUGUUGGCGGGGUAACGGCCCACCAAGGCGACGAUCAGUAGGGGUUCUGAGAGGAAGGUCCCCCACAUUGGAACUGAGACACGGUCCAAACUCCUACGGGAGGCAGCAGUGAGGAAUAUUGGUCAAUGGACGAGAGUCUGAACCAGCCAAGUAGCGUGCAGGAUGACGGCCCUAUGGGUUGUAAACUGCUUUUAUAAGGGAAUAAAGUGAGUCUCGUGAGACUUUUUGCAUGUACCUUAUGAAUAAGGACCGGCUAAUUCCGUGCCAGCAGCCGCGGUAAUACGGAAGGUCCGGGCGUUAUCCGGAUUUAUUGGGUUUAAAGGGAGCGUAGGCCGGAGAUUAAGCGUGUUGUGAAAUGUAGACGCUCAACGUCUGCACUGCAGCGCGAACUGGUUUCCUUGAGUACGCACAAAGUGGGCGGAAUUCGUGGUGUAGCGGUGAAAUGCUUAGAUAUCACGAAGAACUCCGAUUGCGAAGGCAGCUCACUGGAGCGCAACUGACGCUGAAGCUCGAAAGUGCGGGUAUCGAACAGGAUUAGAUACCCUGGUAGUCCGCACGGUAAACGAUGGAUGCCCGCUGUUGGUCUGAAUAGGUCAGCGGCCAAGCGAAAGCAUUAAGCAUCCCACCUGGGGAGUACGCCGGCAACGGUGCAACUCAAAGGA
This 917-nucleotide ribosomal RNA is filed under the name uncultured Bacteroidota bacterium. RNAcentral describes it as "bacterial SSU rRNA". It matches the Rfam family "Bacterial small subunit ribosomal RNA", at positions 1 to 908 of the family's 1533-position model. Lineage: Bacteria; Pseudomonadati; Bacteroidota. The record is from RNAcentral.